RNAcentral lists this long non-coding RNA (270 nucleotides) under Echeneis naucrates (live sharksucker). Its description in RNAcentral is "lncRNA (ENSENLG00000012764.1)". The record is from RNAcentral. Lineage: Eukaryota; Metazoa; Chordata; Actinopteri; Carangiformes; Echeneidae.
UGAGGAGCAGGUGGUGGUGAUUCACGCCAGGACAGUUCUCACCCUUGCAGAGAAGUGGUUGGAGUCCAUUGAAGUGACAAAGUCAGUUCUGCAGCAGAAGAUGCUGGACAUUGAAAGUGAAAAGGAGCUGUUCAGUAAGCAGAAAGGUUACCUGGAUGAAGAGCUGGACUACAGGAAGCAGUCCAUGGAUCAGGCUCAUAAGGUCAGUGAACACAAAACAAAUCCACACACAAGCUACAGAAAAAAAAUCUAAACCAGAUUACUGUGCAC